UUUUACAAAUGGUAUUAGAGCCCAUGGUUCAGGUCUGGUGACUGGGCUCAGACGAGUACGUCCCUCCAUGAUCAGGUGAAGCCUUAGCAGGUGGCUAGUGACAAAUAGCCUGAAAGUGAAUCAUGAGAGGUGGAGAGCAAGAGAUGCUUCAUGAAAGGUGGAGAGCAAGAGAUGCUUCAUGAGAGAUGGAGAGCAAGAUAUGCUUCAUGAUAGGUGGAGAGCAAGAGAUACUAGUGUUUGACCAUGGAUUGUGAGAGAGAAGUGAUGACCAUGGUGCACUCGAGGAUAAGAAAAGACUUUCGCUGUAGGGGAGGUGGAGAACCACAGUCCUUUGUUUGAGGGGAGGAUGUUGGGUAUAAACAAAGUCCCACCACAUCAGAAAAAAACAAGAGAUGGACAUGUUGGGAUAAACUUAAAUUUAGAGAUUUAUUAUUUUGUUAGUUUUGAGUCUAGUAAUAUUUGGUUUGAUUUGAUAGAGAUAAAAGAGGAAUGAGUAGUUAUGAUUUUGUGUUUGUUAGGUAGAAUAUUAUUUUAUGAUAGAAUAAGGAGAUUUUAUUUCUAGGUAAGUUGAUAUUGGGUGUUGCUUCCUACAGCUCCCCAAGUGGACAUGUACCUCCCCACUAUUUUAAUUUAUUUCAAAAAUAUUCGACAUUUCUCCACUAUUUUCUUUUAUUCCAAAAAUACCCU
Molecule: long non-coding RNA, 687 nt
Filed under: Vigna radiata
Lineage: Eukaryota; Viridiplantae; Streptophyta; Magnoliopsida; Fabales; Fabaceae
Description: long non-coding RNA (VRAD_LNC001685)
Source: RNAcentral